AGUAUGGCUUAUUGGUAGAGUGCUUGCCUAGUAUGCAUGAAGUCCUGGGUUCAACUCCUCAGUACU
This 66-nucleotide transfer RNA is filed under the name Dipodomys ordii (Ord's kangaroo rat). It matches the Rfam family "tRNA". From Rfam's summary of the family: Transfer RNA (tRNA) molecules are approximately 80 nucleotides in length. The record is from Rfam by way of RNAcentral. Lineage: Eukaryota; Metazoa; Chordata; Mammalia; Rodentia; Heteromyidae.